This 87-nucleotide non-coding RNA is filed under the name Gallionella capsiferriformans. RNAcentral's name for it is "Glycine sequence". It matches the Rfam family "Glycine riboswitch aptamer". Rfam says of the family: This family represents the bacterial glycine riboswitch. Glycine riboswitches usually consist of two metabolite-binding aptamers domains with similar structures in tandem. RNAcentral also lists the same sequence under 1 other name. The record is from RNAcentral. Lineage: Bacteria; Pseudomonadati; Pseudomonadota; Betaproteobacteria; Nitrosomonadales; Gallionellaceae.
UCAAGACCAAUGGGAGAGCGUGGUUUUAACCACCGCCGAAGGCGUAACACCCGUAACCGCUCAGGCACAAAGAACUAUUGGCACAGG